AUACGGAGGGUGCAAGCGUUACUCGGAAUCACUGGGCGUAAAGCGCGCGCAGGCGGCUAUUUAAGUUGGAUGUGAAAGCCUACGGCUCAACCGUAUAACUGCAUCCAAAACUAUUUAGCUAGAGUGUGGGAGAGGAAGAUGGAAUUAGUUGUGUAGGGGUAAAAUCCGUAGAGAUAACUAGGAAUACCAAAAGCGAAGGCAAUCUUCUGGAACACUACUGACGCUGAGGCGCGAAAGCGUGGGGAGCAAACAGGAUUAGAAACCCUAGUAGUCC
This 274-nucleotide ribosomal RNA is filed under the name uncultured bacterium. RNAcentral's name for it is "partial 16S ribosomal RNA". It matches the Rfam family "Bacterial small subunit ribosomal RNA", at positions 523 to 796 of the family's 1533-position model. The record is from RNAcentral.